Molecule: ribosomal RNA, 538 nt
Filed under: Trigonopterus sp. 404 AR-2020
Lineage: Eukaryota; Metazoa; Arthropoda; Insecta; Coleoptera; Curculionidae
Description: partial large subunit ribosomal RNA
Rfam family: Bacterial large subunit ribosomal RNA
Source: RNAcentral
ACAUGUCUUGUUGAUUGAGAUUUCAAGUUUGGCCUGCCCACUGAUUAUUUAAAUGGCCGCAGUAUAUUGACUGUGCAAAGGUAGCAUAAUCAUUUGUUUUUUAAUUGAGAGCUUGUAUGAAAGGUUUGAUGAAAAAAUAGCUGUCUCUUAAUAGAUUAAGUAGAAUUUUAUUUCUAAGUGAAAAAGCUUAGAUUUAAGUAGAAGACGAGAAGACCCUAUAGAGUUUUAUAAAAAAAAGUGAAUAUUUGGUAUGUGGAAUUAUAAAUUUGGAUUUUAUUUUAUUAUUUUGUUGGGGUGAUGAGAAAAUUAGUUUAACUUUUCUUUAUUUUUAUAUUAAUUUGUAAAUUAAUGAUCCUUUAUAAAGAUUAAAAGAAAAAACUACCUUAGGGAUAACAGCGUAAUUUUUUCAAGAGUUCUUAUCGGAAAAAAAGUUUGCGACCUCGAUGUUGGAUUAAAAUAAAUUUGUGGUGUAGAAGCUACCAAAUUAGGUCUGUUCGACCUUUAAAAUUUUACAUGAUCUGAGUUUAAACCGGUGUGA